Molecule: ribosomal RNA, 162 nt
Rfam family: Eukaryotic large subunit ribosomal RNA
CGGCAACAGCUCAAAUUUGAAAUCUGCCCGCAAGGGCCGAGUUGUAAUUUGUAGAAGAUGCUUUGGGUGUGGCUCCGGUUUAAGUUCUUUGGAAUAUUACAUCACAGAGGGUGAGAAUCCCGUAUGUGACCGGUUGCCUCGCUCGUGUAAAGCUCUUUCAAC